ACUCCUACGGGAGGCAGCAGUGGGGGAAUCUUGGACAAUGGGGGCGAACCCUGAUCCAGCCAUGCCGCGUGAGUGAUGAAGGCCUUAGGGUCGUAAAGCUCUUUCGCCUGUGAUGAUAAUGACAGUAGCAGGUAAAGAAACCCCGGCUAACUCCGUGCCAGCAGCCGCGGUAAUACGGAGGGGGUUAGCGUUGUUCGGAAUUACUGGGGCGUAAAGCGCGCGUAGGCGGAUUAGUCAGUUAGAGGUGAAAUCCCAGGGCUCAACCCUGGAACUGCCUUUAAUACUGCUAGUCUUGAGUUCGAGAGAGGUGAGUGGAAUUCCGAGUGUAGAGGUGAAAUUCGUAGAUAUUCGGAGGAACACCAGUGGCGAAGGCGGCUCACUGGCUCGAUACUGACGCUGAGGUGCGAAAGUGUGGGGGAGCAAACA
RNAcentral lists this ribosomal RNA (426 nucleotides) under uncultured bacterium. RNAcentral describes it as "bacterial SSU rRNA". It matches the Rfam family "Bacterial small subunit ribosomal RNA", at positions 335 to 774 of the family's 1533-position model. The record is from RNAcentral.